Molecule: ribosomal RNA, 2524 nt
Filed under: human gut metagenome
Description: bacterial LSU rRNA
Rfam family: Bacterial large subunit ribosomal RNA
Source: RNAcentral
UUAAGUGAAUAAGGGCGCACGGUGGAUGCCUUGGCACUAGGAGCCGAUGAAGGACGGGACUAACACCGAUAUGCUUUGGGGAGCUGUAAGUAAGCUAUGAUCCAGAGAUUUCCGAAUGGGGGAACCCAAUAUCUUUUAUAGGAUAUUACUUUUCAGUGAAUACAUAGCUGAUUAGAGGUAGACGCAGAGAACUGAAACAUCUUAGUACCUGCAGGAAGAGAAAGAAAAUUCGAUUCCCUGAGUAGCGGCGAGCGAAACGGGAAGAGCCCAAACCAACAAGCUUGCUUGUUGGGGUUGUAGGACUCCAAUAUGGUAGUCUGUUAGUAUAGUUGAAGGAUUUGGAAAAUUCCGCUAAAGAGGGUGAAAGCCCCGUAGACGAAAUGCUAACAACACCUAGGAGGAUCCUGAGUACGGCGGAACACGAGAAAUUCCGUCGGAAUCCGCGGGGACCAUCCCGCAAGGCUAAAUACUCCCUAGUGACCGAUAGUGAACCAGUACCGUGAGGGAAAGGUGAAAAGCACCCCGGAAGGGGAGUGAAAUAGAUCCUGAAACCGUGUGCCUACAACAAGUCAAAGCUCGUUAAUGAGUGAUGGCGUGCCUUUUGUAGAAUGAACCGGCGAGUUACGAUUGCAUGCGAGGUUAAGUCGAAGAGACGGAGCCGCAGCGAAAGCGAGUCUGAAUAGGGCGAAUGAGUAUGUAGUCGUAGACCCGAAACCAUGUGAUCUACCCAUGUCCAGGUUGAAGGUGCGGUAAAACGCACUGGAGGACCGAACCCACGUACGUUGAAAAGUGCGGGGAUGAGGUGUGGGUAGCGGAGAAAUUCCAAACGAACUUGGAGAUAGCUGGUUCUCUCCGAAAUAGCUUUAGGGCUAGCCUCGGAAUUGAGAAUGAUGGAGGUAGAGCACUGUUUGGACUAGGGGCCCAUCUCGGGUUACCGAAUUCAGAUAAACUCCGAAUGCCAUUCAUUUAUAUCCGGGAGUCAGACUGCGAGUGAUAAGAUCCGUAGUCGAAAGGGAAACAGCCCAGACCACCAGCUAAGGUCCCAAAAUAUAUGUUAAGUGGAAAAGGAUGUGGGGUUGCACAGACAACUAGGAUGUUGGCUUAGAAGCAGCCACCAUUUAAAGAGUGCGUAAUAGCUCACUAGUCGAGUGACCCUGCGCCGAAAAUGUACCGGGGCUAAACAUAUUACCGAAGCUGUGGACUACACCAUUAGGUGUAGUGGUAGGAGAGCGUUCUAAGGGCGUUGAAGGUCGAUCGUGAGGACGGCUGGAGCGCUUAGAAGUGAGAAUGCCGGUAUGAGUAGCGAAAGACAGGUGAGAAUCCUGUCCACCGUAUGACUAAGGUUUCCUGGGGAAGGCUCGUCCGCCCAGGGUUAGUCGGGACCUAAGCCGAGGCCGAUAGGCGUAGGCGAUGGACAACAGGUUGAUAUUCCUGUACCAGUUGUUUUUGUUUGAACAAUGGAGGGACGCAGUAGGCUAAGGAAUGCAUGCGAUUGGAAGUGCAUGUCCAAGCAAUGAGUCUUGAGUAGAGUUAAAUGCUUUACUCUUUAAGGACAAGUUGUGACGGGGAGCGAAAUAAUAGUAGCGAAGUUCCUGAUGUCACACUGCCAAGAAAAGCUUCUAGUGAGAAAACAACUGCCCGUACCGUAAACCGACACAGGUAGUCGAGGAGAGUAUCCUAAGGUGAGCGAGCGAACUCUCGUUAAGGAACUCGGCAAAAUGACCCCGUAACUUCGGGAGAAGGGGUGCUGACUUCGGUCAGCCGCAGUGAAUAGGCCCAAGCGACUGUUUAUCAAAAACACAGGUCUCUGCAAAAUCGUAAGAUGAAGUAUAGGGGCUGACGCCUGCCCGGUGCUGGAAGGUUAAGAGGAUGGGUUAGCUUCGGCGAAGCUCAGAAUUGAAGCCCCAGUAAACGGCGGCCGUAACUAUAACGGUCCUAAGGUAGCGAAAUUCCUUGUCGGGUAAGUUCCGACCCGCACGAAAGGCGUAACGAUUUGGGCACUGUCUCAACGAGAGACUCGGUGAAAUUUUAGUACCUGUGAAGAUGCAGGUUACCCGCGACAGGACGGAAAGACCCCAUGGAGCUUUACUGUAGUUUGAUAUUGAGUGUUUGUACCACAUGUACAGGAUAGGUAGGAGCCGAUGAGACCGGAACGCUAGUUUCGGAGGAGGCGCUGGUGGGAUACUACCCUUGUGUUAUGAACCCUCUAACCCGCACCACUAAUCGUGGUGGGAGACAGUGUCAGAUGGGCAGUUUGACUGGGGCGGUCGCCUCCUAAAAGGUAACGGAGGCGCCCAAAGGUUCCCUCAGAAUGGUUGGAAAUCAUUCGAAGAGUGUAAAGGCAGAAGGGAGCUUGACUGCGAGACCUACAAGUCGAGCAGGGACGAAAGUCGGGCUUAGUGAUCCGGUGGUUCCGCAUGGAAGGGCCAUCGCUCAACGGAUAAAAGCUACCCUGGGGAUAACAGGCUUAUCUCCCCCAAGAGUCCACAUCGACGGGGAGGUUUGGCACCUCGAUGUCGGCUCG